AUGAAACUGAUUAUCUUCCCAGCCACUGGCUGCCAGAAACUCAUUGGAGUGGAUGAUGAAUGCAAACUUCGUACUUUUUGUGAGAAGCAUAUGGCCACAGAAGUUGCUGCUGAUGCUCUGGGUGAAGAAUGGAAGGGUUAUGUGGUCUGAAUCAGUGGUGGGAACGACAAAUUUCCCCAUGAAGCAGGGUGUCUUAACCCAUGGCCGUGUCUGCCUGCUACUGAGUAAGGGGCAUUCCUGUUACAGACCAAAGAGAGUGGGACAAAGAAAGAGAAAAUCAGUUUGUGGUUGUAUUGUGGAUGCCAAUCUGAGCAUUCUCAACUUGGUUAUUGUGAAAAAAAAAGGAGAGAAGGAUAUUCCUGGACUGACGGACUGACUGAUACUAUGGUGCCUCAUCGCCUGGGGCCCAAAAGAGCUAGCAGAAUUCGCAAACUUUUUUUUUUUUUUUUUUGGGGGGGGAUGGAUCUGUCUAAAGAAGAUGAUGUCCGCCAGUAUGUUGUAAGAAAGCGCUUAAACAAAGAAGGUAAGAAACCUAGGACCUAGAAACAAAACACCCAAGAUUCAGUGUGUUGUUACUCCACGUGUCUUGCAGCACAGAUGGCAGUGUAUUGCUCUGAAGAAGCAGCGUACUAAGAAAAAUAAGGAAGAGGCUGCAGAAUAUGCUAAACUCUUGGCCAAGAGAAAUUAAGGAGGCUAAGGAGAAGUGCCGGGAACAAUUUACGAAGAGACGCAGACUUUCCUCUCUGCGAGCUUCUGCUUCUAAGUAAAGUCCAGAGAAGAAGCUGGUGAGAAAGAGACAGGAGCCAGAUCCUGAAUGACGGUAAAUUGAAUCCUGGAGGGAACCAAACAAAGCCCUGAAAACCUCCAAGAAUCUCAAGUUCGCCAAAUCCAUGAUUUCUUUCUCCAGGAAGAAAAAUGGCAUCCGUUGCAGUUGAUCCACAACCGAGUGUGGUGACUCGGGUGAUCAACCUGCCCUUGGUGAGCUCCACGUAUGACCUCAUGUCCUCAGCCUAUCUCAGUACAAAGGACCAAUAUCCCUACCUGAAGUCUGUGUGUGAGAUGGCAGAGAAGGGCGUGAAGACCAUCACCUCCGUGGCCAUGACCAGUGCUCUGCCCAUCAUCCAGAAGCUA
RNA transcript from Cercocebus atys (sooty mangabey), 1131 nucleotides. It is a transcript of the gene named 40S ribosomal protein S6-like, with no coding region annotated. NCBI's taxonomy places the organism in Eukaryota, Metazoa, Chordata, Mammalia, Primates, Cercopithecidae. The record is from RefSeq and is a predicted model, not a curated record. The transcript is spliced from 5 exons.